Molecule: ribosomal RNA, 117 nt
Filed under: Anaerobacillus alkaliphilus
Lineage: Bacteria; Bacillati; Bacillota; Bacilli; Caryophanales; Bacillaceae
Source: RNAcentral
UCUAGUAACGAUAGCGAAGAGGCCACACUCGUUCCCAUGUCGAACACGAUCGUUAAGCUCUUCAGCGCUGAUGGUAAGUUGGGGGUUUCCCCCUGUGAGAGUAGGACGUUGCUAGGU